This 252-nucleotide ribosomal RNA is filed under the name uncultured bacterium. RNAcentral's name for it is "partial 16S ribosomal RNA". It matches the Rfam family "Bacterial small subunit ribosomal RNA", at positions 524 to 776 of the family's 1533-position model. The record is from RNAcentral.
UACAUAGGGAGCAAGCGUUAUCCGGAAUUAUUGGGUUUAAAGGGUGCGUAGGCGGGCUGUUAAGUCAGCGGUCAAAUGUCGGGGCUCAACCCCGGCCUGCCGUUGAAACUGGCGGCCUCGAGUGGGCGAGAAGUAUGCGGAAUGCGUGGUGUAGCGGUGAAAUGCAUAGAUAUCACGCAGAACUCCGAUUGCGAAAGCAGCAUACCGGCGCCCGACUGACGCUGAGGCACGAAAGCGUGGGUAUCGAACAGG